CACAAGAUCCUUAUCAAAGGAAACUCAGGAUACACCAAAAAAGAUCUAAUUGGCCUAUCCUAAUUCUUGCAUUCCUCGAGUGAAUUCUGAUAAAAAGUAUUCUUGAUGCACAAACCUGAAAAGAAAAACAGACUGUUAGGAAAAUUAAUGUAACAAUGUUUUAUUCCCAAAAGACACGUAUAAAAAAUGAAGCAUUCCAUAUUCCAUAAACUAGCUAAGGACUUAAUGUGCUUCCAAUCAACUGCUUGUGAGCGCAAAAAAGUCCCUAUACAUUUCUAGCAGCAAUAUUUCCCCUUUUCCAAUUUUUUCGUGAUGCUGAAAUUCACUUACUAUCCAUUGGCUACUAGUGAUGGUAAUGCACUUUUUUGGCACAAAGGUGCCAUGCCUACCCAUUUCCAUCCAAUACCCUUUUGCGGCAGGCCAGGCUUCGUCGAGCCAUGUGCCUGUCGCUCAGGCAACCAAUCAUACUGUUUAUGACUGGCAGCAUUUAUACACCAUACUACUACAGAUACAAUGAGAUGGCUGGCAUGCAAAGUAUUAUGUAGAAACUGAUAGAACAUUAUCUUAUAUCGUAGAGGCAUAAGUGACUACUCGUAUAUACCAUAGACUCACCAGAACAUAUUCUUGAAACAGGCCGUAUCGGUGGGACCGUGGGAAGUCUUCAAGGCGAAUCCCAUGCUGUUACUUGGAGGUUCAAGCCUGGAAGAUAAAUAUGGCAUUAAAAAAGAGCAGAAAAAUACUAUAUCAUAUAUCAACAAAUAACUAAGGGAUGUAAACGCUCUCAGAAUUAUUCAAGAGUUAUCUAAAAUAUGUAUAAAAAAGAACACAAGCUGCCUACUGGAUUUCUACAAAAUAAUUGAGAGGUCCUGAUAUGCUUUCCUAAUAAAAGUGAAAAGUAGCAGAUGGCCAGAUGACCAUUUAAGCAAUAAUAGUAACAGAAGAAUACCUUUUCAAAGGUAAAAUAAAAUAUAUAUUACAUGCAACUACUAUAGUAUUGUAUUUACAAAAUUCAUUGGCAUCCGCAUAUUGUUCUUAGUUAGUACACAUGCACAAGAAAGAAAUUCAUUAGCAUCCUGCAACUACAUAUACUACCUGCAACUACUGCUCACCCUGCAUAAAUUCACAAUAAAAAAAUAAAAAAAUUAAUGAUGUACUGUUAGCACACAUCUAACUGACAAACAGAGAUGCAGAAAAUUAGAUGAAGCAGAUGACACAACACAGAUGACUAAGUAGUGACUGAACUUGAUAUCCACAAGACAUGAACGUGUUCCCCACUUCUCAACUGGAUCCACAAAAUUCUAAACUAGAAAACAAUCCAGCCCAAACUUUUACAGCCAGCCAAUGUUAGUAAACUAUAAGUUGACUACCAGCUAAUAGCCAUAUAUCCUAGAUGGCUAAACAGAUCUAUCCUGAACCAAUAAGCCAUAACACUCAAGGAUCUAAAAGACCAUUGCGCUCUUUUGUUUCCUAUAAUAACACUACUGAACAUAAUAACUAGGUUGUUUGGAGUAGAAUGCUACCGAACCAAAUUUGAUUAGUAAGACAAUAAUGGUAAAAAUAAUUGGCACCCAAUCUCACCUACUCCUCCCUCACCUCGUUCUUCUUCACUAAUGUUAUGUAUCUCAAUCUGAAGCUGUGCACGAUUUUUCUAGUCAGGUCAGCCCUGAGCUGUACGGGGACAGCAGGCCGAGGCUCUUCACGUACUGGACAGUGAGUACCUCCUGCUGCUGCCUGUUUUUUUGCAUCGCAUACAAUCUACAUGAUGCACAUAUGGCUGCAGAGCGACACGUACGAGGCUACUGGUUGCUACAACGCGCUGUGCCCGGGGUUCGUGCAGACGAGCUCCCGCAUCGCCAUCGGCGCGUCCAUCUCGCCGGUGUCGUCGGUCGGCGGCGCGCACUACGACAUGAGGCUGCUAGUGUGGAAGGACUCGAAGCUGGGCAACUGGUGGCUCAGGUACGGGGACCAGCUGGUGGGGUACUGGCCAGCGCAGCUGUUCACGUUGAUUAAUUCCAACAACACAAUAUCAUCCCCAGAGGUAGGGCGUCGCUCGUGCUCUGCUUUAGGUUUGCUAAAUUGAAAACUACAGAGGCAUAAAUCCAUUCACUCGAUAGAUAUGUGAGACUACAGAGACAUCUAAAAAUUGAAAACACAAUGCUUACAGGUUCACGUAUAUACCUCCACGGUACACACUGCUAUCGAAGGCCGCCCCAAGAAGCGGAUCUCGAUGUUGAGUGGCGCAGCGUGCUCCACUUCGCAUCUCCCAGAUGUAGUCAUCCGCCAGCGGCGAGCUGGGUGGAGGUGGGGCUC
RNAcentral lists this long non-coding RNA (2310 nucleotides) under Zea mays. RNAcentral describes it as "long non-coding RNA (ZMAY_LNC000498)". The record is from RNAcentral. Lineage: Eukaryota; Viridiplantae; Streptophyta; Magnoliopsida; Poales; Poaceae.